RNAcentral lists this long non-coding RNA (523 nucleotides) under Marmota monax (woodchuck). The record is from RNAcentral. Lineage: Eukaryota; Metazoa; Chordata; Mammalia; Rodentia; Sciuridae.
CUUGCCUAGCAUGCAGGAGCCACUGGGUUCAAUCCCCAGUACCACACACACACAGAGGCCGGGGGCUUGGGACACACUGGCCUGAGGACACCCACACAAAAGUAACCACAGCAUUCCCUGCUGGCACCAAGCCAGCCCAGGCAGUUUCUCAACUCGGUCCUCAUCACCGGGUAGUGGAUGUUUGCUGGGGCUUGGAAGAAGUGAUCUCUGGCAGCCCAGACACCAAGGAGAGAGCAGCAUGGGGAAACAGCACCCCCUACAGCCCAGUUGUGGCUGCUGCAAAGAGACCCAGAGCCGGGCAGCCUAGAGCUGGGACCACCUCGGCGCCUGGUUCCAUCAAGAUCUGAGGGCAGAGGAAGGGGAGGCAGGACUUGGUUUCCGGAGGUCUGUGCCAUUCCUCCCUCCAGGGGUCUCUAAAAGGAGCUCACCGGACUGCAGACUAGACCCUGAGGGCGACCAUGUGGCAUUUCAGAUGAAGUCCCCAGCACGCAUUCUGAUCAAAAUAAACUAGGAGAGAAACGGC